CUUGGGAGGCUAAGGCAUGAGAAUUGCUUGAAAGCAGGAGGUGGAGGUUGCAGUGAGCCAAGAUCCUGCCACCGCACUCCAGCCUGGGCAACAGAGUGAGACUGCCUCAAAACAAAACUGUCAACUCCAAAUUCUGUAUCUGGUGAAAUGUUCCUUCAGGAAUGAAGGGGUAAGACGUUCUUGGAUGAUGAAAAACUAACAUAAUAUGUUGAAUGGGUCUACCCUGUAGACCUUGAAUAAACCUACCCUAAUGGAAGGUCUUGAACCAGAAACGUUUAAAAAAAAAAAGUCUUGGAAUGUCAGGAAGAAUGACAGAAACAGCAAAAAAUGGGUAAAUACAAUAGACUUUUUCCUUCUUGUGUUUUCUAAAUUACUUGGUAGUGAAAGCAAAAUUAUAUAUUUAAGACAAUUAUCAAUAGAGUGGGGAGGGGAUGGACAAGAGAGUUAAGUUUUCUACAUUUCACUCAAAUUGGUAAAAUGCUGACAUCAACAGAUCUUUAUAUGGCAGUGAAGCAGUUCUGUAUCUCAACUGUCUUGGUAGGGUUACAGGAAGAUAAGAUGGCAUAAAAUGAUAUAUGCUGUGCAAAAAUCAAUUUCCUGUAGUUAUGUAAGAUGAAUCUGUACUGUCUUUUCAAUUCCCUGUAAGUCUAUAACUAGUGCAGAAUCAAAAGCUUUAAAAAGUGUAGGAUGACAGUGUUGAAUAUGCUGCUUUAAAAGGGACACACAGUUAUAGUGGCUUAGAU
Long non-coding RNA from Sapajus apella (tufted capuchin), 743 nucleotides. RefSeq lists it as uncharacterized. NCBI's taxonomy places the organism in Eukaryota, Metazoa, Chordata, Mammalia, Primates, Cebidae. The transcript has 2 exons. The record is from RefSeq and is a predicted model, not a curated record.